GAUGAACGCUGGCGGCGUGCCUAAUACAUGCAAGUCGAGCGAACAGACGAGGAGCUUGCUCCUCUGACGUUAGCGGCGGACGGGUGAGUAACACGUGGAUAACCUACCUAUAAGACUGGGAUAACUUCGGGAAACCGGAGCUAAUACCGGAUAAUAUAUUGAACCGCAUGGUUCAAUAGUGAAAGACGGUUUUGCUGUCACUUAUAGAUGGAUCCGCGCCGCAUUAGCUAGUUGGUAAGGUAACGGCUUACCAAGGCAACGAUGCGUAGCCGACCUGAGAGGGUGAUCGGCCACACUGGAACUAAGACACGGUCCAGACUCCUACGGGAGGCAGCAGAAGGAAUCUUCCGCAAUGGGCGAAAGCCUGACGGAGCAACGCCGCGUGAGUGAUGAAGGUCUUCGGAUCGUAAAACUCUGUUAUUAGGGAAGAACAAAUGUGUAAGUAACUAUGCACGUCUUGACGGUACCUAAUCAGAAAGCCACGGCUAACUACGUG
This 496-nucleotide ribosomal RNA is filed under the name uncultured bacterium. Its description in RNAcentral is "partial 16S ribosomal RNA". It matches the Rfam family "Bacterial small subunit ribosomal RNA", at positions 28 to 507 of the family's 1533-position model. The record is from RNAcentral.